Molecule: non-coding RNA, 143 nt
Filed under: Nocardioides sp.
Lineage: Bacteria; Bacillati; Actinomycetota; Actinomycetes; Propionibacteriales; Nocardioidaceae
Source: RNAcentral
ACCGGCGUCCCCUAGGGUGGCCGCACGCGCGUCUCGUGGAACAGGAACCCGGUGAGAGUCCGGGGCGGUUCCGCCACUGUGACGCCGGUCCUCGUACCUGACGGCCGGCACAGCCAGACACUGGCCACGGGACAUUCACCCAA